Vicia faba (fava bean) is the source of this 201-nucleotide non-coding RNA. The record is from the annotation of a GenBank genome assembly. Lineage: Eukaryota; Viridiplantae; Streptophyta; Magnoliopsida; Fabales; Fabaceae.
AUGCUAGGCAAAGUUCAUAAGCAUUUUCAUGGAGUCCGAGAAGUGGUUCAGAGAACGAAAUUGAGUGAGACGAUGGAGGUUGAGAAGGAGAUUAAGAGACGACGAUGGGGUUUUGAUGAUAUUGAUCGGAGAAGAAGCAACUGUGGUACUGUUGAUGGAAGAAGGAAGAAUAGGGUUAGGUUUUAUGGAGAAGCUGAAUAG